UCUCUCGUAGCAUAAAAGUGAUGCGAGCGGCUGAUAACCGCUAGAAGAAGGUGCGAUACCUUCCGGGAGGACCA
Molecule: transfer RNA, 74 nt
Filed under: Brevundimonas phage vB_BgoS-Bajun
Lineage: Duplodnaviria; Heunggongvirae; Uroviricota; Caudoviricetes
Description: tRNA-Ile
Rfam family: tRNA
About the family: Transfer RNA (tRNA) molecules are approximately 80 nucleotides in length. Their secondary structure includes four short double-helical elements and three loops (D, anti-codon, and T loops).
Source: RNAcentral